GUGCUCACUUUGGCAGCACAUAUACUAAAAUUGGAACAAUACAGAGAAGGUUAUCAUGGCCCCUGUGCAAGGAUGACAUGCAAAUUUGUGAAGCAUUCCAUAUUUAU
Small nuclear RNA from Fukomys damarensis (Damara mole-rat), 107 nucleotides. The record is from Ensembl. Lineage: Eukaryota; Metazoa; Chordata; Mammalia; Rodentia; Bathyergidae.